Molecule: ribosomal RNA, 497 nt
Filed under: uncultured bacterium
Lineage: Bacteria
Description: partial 16S ribosomal RNA
Rfam family: Bacterial small subunit ribosomal RNA
Source: RNAcentral
GAUGAACGCUGGCGGCGUGCCUAAUACAUGCAAGUCGAGCGAACGGACGAGAAGCUUGCUUCUCUGAUGUUAGCGGCGGACGGGUGAGUAACACGUGGAUAACCUACCUAUAAGACUGGGAUAACUUCGGGAAACCGGAGCUAAUACCGGAUAAUAUUUUGAACCGCAUGGUUCAAAAGUGAAAGACGGUCUUGCUGUCACUUCUAGAUGGAUCCGCGCUGCAUUAGCUAGUUGGUAAGGUAACGGCUUACCAAGGCAACGAUGCAUAGCCGACCUGAGAGGGUGAUCGGCCACACUGGAACUGAGACACGGUCCAGACUCCUACGGGAGGCAGCAGUAGGGAAUCUUCCGCAAUGGGCGAAAGCCUGACGGAGCAACGCCGCGUGAGUGAUGAAGGUCUUCGGAUCGUGAAACUCUGUUAUUAGGGAAGAACAUAUGUGUAAGUAACUGUGCACAUCUUGACGGUACCUAAUCAGAGAGCCACGGCUAACUACGUG